UGGGUGGGUUUGCAGGACACGUCGUAAGAUGUCGCAUGUUGAUGUUUUGGUGGCGUUCCCGCCUGCUCGUCACCAGCGAGUUCGAAUACAGAUCUGAUCCGUUGUAGAAUGUAUUCAAAUUAUUUUUCGUUUUCUCAUUUUUAUUGUAGUUAUAUGUGAUACAAAUAUGGUAUCAAGGAGAUCAAGUUUUGCGCGGGAAAUUGUGGAUUUUUGGCGGGACAUGGCGGGAAAUAAAGAUGGCGACAAUUGCCUUCGCGGUUUCGGCGGUGGAUUGUUGGUGCCGGGUUUUAGACUGUUGUUUAGGGGUUUUCAAAGGGUAAUUACAAGAGUCAUGAGGUAAAACUAGUGCUUUUGUUCCUUCUCAUGAUGAUAUAACGUUUCAUGAUAGCUUUUGGUGAUGUGAAGGCUCAAUUUGAUUGAUCCUUGUGUAGACCGUUGUGAUGGUUGUGCUGGGUGCUCGGUGGACGUGAGUGACCGGGUAUUUUCUAGAUUUUCUUCAUAAGUUCAAGUUUCUUCGAGAUUUUUCUGUGAUUUAUAUAUGAUUUCUUUAUCUCUUGGUCAGUGUGUUGUGUCUCAAAGAGAGACUGUGAUGAUUAUUUCGUUGUUUCAAUUUUUUUGUGUUUGAUUUUUUGUCGUGGAUUUUUGGUGGCAAGUUGAGUGUAUUCUGAUAAUGGAAGCUUCCUAUCUGUUCAAUGUCGAUUGCAUUGAAAAUCAGUGAAUUGGUGCUAAUUUCAUGGUGGAAUAAUAGUGGUGUGUGUGAGCAAUAAAGGAUUACCUGCAAACAUUCCGGCUGAUCAGCAACUGUUGGAGACUGCAAUCAAGAAUUACCUCCCAGCAUUGCAGAUCAUUUACAGCUAUUGAAAACACCGGUGAGUUUUUCUUUUGACAUUUUAUUUUAUAAAUUGAUAUAGUCAGGAAUUAAAUCAAAAGUACAUGCAGAAGGAAAUAAGUCAUGAUAAAACAUUGAGCCAUGAUUUAUUCGUUCAAACAUCAUAAAACACAUAAGAGUGCCAAUCCUCAUAAAAAGUCAUCCAUCAACAAUUUUUCGAUAUAUACAAAUCCUCAAUUAUAUACAAAUCAUGUGAAUAACCCAUUACACUUAUUAUGCAUAAACUAUAUAUUAAGUACAACGAGUGGCUUCAUUAAAAUCAAAGUCGAAUAUCGAUUAUCACAUCAGGAGACAGAUAAAUUUCGAUGCUUCACGAUUGAAUUAAAAAAAUGCGAAAGGAAUGCAGUGCAUAGGCCCAUAGAAUUGAACCAUAAAACUAUUAUGAAUCAUUUGACAAAGCGCACAGUUCUAUUGCAGAGAACAGUCUCAUCAUCUCAUCAACUCGUCUUCAGUAAUGACGCACAAACGGGUCAUUUAAAUUAUGCGCAGAUCGGUCCAGUUACCAUAACACAUAACUCACGGAUUGAAUUAUUGUCCUCGCUCUCACUUUAGCAGCAUUAUG
Molecule: long non-coding RNA, 1451 nt
Organism: Diachasmimorpha longicaudata
Lineage: Eukaryota; Metazoa; Arthropoda; Insecta; Hymenoptera; Braconidae
Exons: 2
Source: RefSeq, a predicted model, not a curated record